Molecule: ribosomal RNA, 377 nt
Filed under: uncultured eukaryote
Lineage: Eukaryota
Description: partial 18S ribosomal RNA
Rfam family: Eukaryotic small subunit ribosomal RNA
Source: RNAcentral
CAAUAGCGUAUAUUUAAGUUGCUGCAGUUAAAAAGCUCGUAGUUGGAUUUCGGGUGGGAAUGGCCGGUCCGCCGUUUCGGUGUGCACUUGCUACGCCCACCUUGCUGCCGGGGACGUGCUCUUGAGUUCACGCUCGGGACACGGAGUCGGCGAGGUUACUUUGAGUAAAUUAGAGUGUUCAAAGCAUGCCUACGCUCUGAAUACAUUAGCAUGGAAUAACACGAUAGGACUCUGGCCUAUCUUGUUGGUCUGUAGGACCGGAGUAAUGAUUAAGAGGGACAGUCGGGGGCAUUCGUAUUUCAUUGUCAGAGGUGAAAUUCUUGGAUUUAUGAAAGACGAACUACUGCGAAAGCAUUUGCCAAGGAUGUUUUCAUUAA